UACGUAGGGUGCAAGCAUUAAUCGGAAUUAUUGGGCGUAAAGGGCGUGUAGGCGGAUUCGUAAGUCAGAUGUGAAAGCCCCGGGCUCAACCUGGGAAUUGCAUUUGAGACUGCGUAGCUAGGGUGCGGAAGAGGGAAGCGGAAUUUCCGGUGUAGCGGUGAAAUGCGUAGAUAUCGGAAGGAACACCAGUGGCGAAAGCGGCUUCCUGGUCCAGCACCGACGUUCAGGCACGAAAGCGUGGGGAGCAAACAGG
Molecule: ribosomal RNA, 253 nt
Filed under: uncultured bacterium
Lineage: Bacteria
Description: partial 16S ribosomal RNA
Rfam family: Bacterial small subunit ribosomal RNA
Source: RNAcentral